GAUGAACGCUGGCGGCGUGCCUAAUACAUGCAAGUCGAGCGAAUGGAUUGAGAGCUUGCUCUUAUGAAGUUAGCGGCGGACGGGUGAGUAACACGUGGGUAACCUGCCCAUAAGACUGGGAUAACUCCGGGAAACCGGGGCUAAUACCGGAUAACAUUUUGAACCGCAAGGUUCGAAAUUGAAAGGCCGCUUCGGCUGGCACUUAUGGAUGGACCCGCGUCGCAUUAGCUAGUUGGUGAGGUAACGGCUAACAAAGGCAACGAUGCGUAGCCGAACUGAGAGGGUGAUCGGCCACACUGGGACUGAGACACGGACCAGACUCCUAAGGGAGAAAGCAGUAGGGGAUCCUACGCAAUGGACGAAAGUCUGACGGAGCAACGCCGCGUGAGUGAUGAAGGCUUUCGGGUCGUAAAACUCUGUUGUUAGGGAAGAACAAGUGCUAGUUGAAUAAGCUGGCACCUUGACGGUACCUAACCAGAAAGCCACGGCUAACUACGUGCCAGCCGCCGCCGUAA
This 515-nucleotide ribosomal RNA is filed under the name uncultured bacterium. Its description in RNAcentral is "partial 16S ribosomal RNA". It matches the Rfam family "Bacterial small subunit ribosomal RNA", at positions 28 to 523 of the family's 1533-position model. The record is from RNAcentral.